CUCGCUGCUGCAACGAAACGGCCAUUAAGUUGCUCAACAGAAUCUCUAUCUUCUUCUUCUUCUUCUUCUUCUUCAAUAUCAUAUUGGGUAAUAAUACGAAUCUCUACGUUCAUGACCCAUUUCUUCUUAAUCCUGGAAAUCUCUGCCAAAAUAUCCAUAGCGUUGCAUAUUAUCUUGGAGAUGACAAAGCUUCUGAGCUUGGGAUGUAUGUCUAUGGAACAUGGCAACAAGGUUGAGAUUAUUUCAGAAACAUCAUCGCCGAGAAAUUGUUCUUCAGUGAGCUCUACAGAGUUACCCCUGAUUUGAGUUCGGAUUUCGAGUUGUGUGCCCCAUACUUGGCGGUGUGUGGAGCUUGGAAGAAUUCUGAUGUGGAGAACUCGUGGACAAUUCUCUUCAAGAUCCAACUUUUUGUAUCUUAUGUUUACUUGCAGUUUUGCUGUGGAAGCCAUGAUUAUGAUGAUAGUUUAGCUAGUGUUUUGAUCGAACAAAAAAAUAUAGAAUUUGUUGGACUGUUAUGGUAUAUAGAUAUAUAUACAUAUAGAGAGAGAACCAAUCCUGUUUGGAUUGGACUUCUGUUUUCCGAGAAAGAACAGGAAAAGGAAAGGAAAACAGAUGAACAUAUUAUUAAUUAAUUAGAAGCCUAGUCCCGUUUAGUUUGGAUUGGAGCCAUAAUUAGAUCAUGAGAGAAGAAAAAAACAUCCACAAUUGCAUUUUGUGUUCCAAUCAUAUCUUUACAAGUGUCCUUACAAAAGAUUUCUUUAAUUGAAAAAUUUUACUUAUACCUAUUUACCAUUAACUCAAAAAAAAACUUAAAAUUUUAAUUACACCGAUUCACCAUUAACUAAAAAAAAAAAAAAAGAAAAGAAGCAAGUCUAGUUAUAGUUCGUCGAUAGACUGACUUGUGGAUCGACUUAACAGCCACCAUCCAAUUUGAUUUUUUUUUUUUUUUUCAAUUUUAUUUAUUUAUUUAUUUAUAAUUAAUUGAUGGCACCUUCUUUGAAGUUUCAUUUUCAAGUAUAUAAAUAGAAGCAUUAGAUUUCAUAUAAUCUCACACAAGUCAUUUCCUCUAUCAAUUGUUGGUCAUGGCGAGGUAUGCAAAUUUUUCUCCUUUUCAUAUUGCAUAUUCUUUUUUCUUCAUUAGUAUUCUAUUUUGCAUAUUAAAUUAUAUUCUUAUAUGUGACUGAUUAAAAUGAAAAAAAAAAUUGACUAAUUAUUGAAAUAAUAUAUAUAUAAAACUUAAUUAAUUAUGGGUUUUUAAUUUGGUGUACAGAUUGAUGAUGAAGGUGCAAGCUAUAAUCAUAGGUUUGAUUGUUGUUGGAUCAAUCUAAGUUGAGGCUAGAAAAGAAAAGUAACUUCAGAAUUUGAAUCAAAUCGUCAAAUGGGAGACUCAAACACAGUUCAUCAUCUUCGAUCAAGCCCACACCAAAUUGCUGUUGAUGGAAACCUCACAUGGAAUCGCUUUAUAAGAAUAUUGAUAGGCAUUGAGAUCCCCGAUCCUCCACCUGCAGGGCAGGGGGGAGUGACCCUCUUACCAAAAAUAUCUUUUAGUAGCAAGUCAUUGAGAUCGAAUAGGAUGUACAAUUCAAUUUCUAUUUUUUUUUAUUGUAAAUAAUUUAAUAUUGGAUUAUCGAAUUCUGUCCGUGUAGCUUUGAAUUUUCUUUUUGAUUUGGAUACCAGUUUAUUUGCUUGUUUUUAUUGGGUAUCUUUCUAUCCCUUGAGAUCUUUUUUUAAUUUCCUAUGUUUCCUUUUAUUUACCAACCUCUAGUUUUUUCACACCUCCCCAAACUGUUUCUAACACUCCCUCUCACCCACGCCCUUUUCUUAAAAGCUCACCUUCUUUACUCCCACCCACCUACCGCCUUAACUCCACAACCCCUGCUUGAUGGAAAAUUUGGAACAAAACGUCUCUAAGCUCAUUACCAAAGCAAAGAAUAUACAGUGCUCAGAGGAUACUCUACAAUUAAUGGAGGAUGAUUCUAAUUCCAAUCUUAGCCACAAGUACAUUCUAGUAGAAUCAUAUCCUAUAAAAUUCUAAAUACUAUAGCAGUUAGGGCGGCUCUAAGCAUGACUUGGUGUACUAGCAAGAUCUACAUGGUUAUCUCCAAAGGGGCAAAUCUAUUUUAAUUUUUUUUUCUCUCAAAGAUAUAGUUCAUUUCGCUCAAAUCUGUUUCAGUUUACCUUUGAGCACGAAGUGGAUUUUAGGUAUGUGUCAACAACAGACAUUGAACAAUCCACAGUCAACACUUGUGCAUCUGAGAAUGGCCCCUAGAUUUAGCAUUCGAAGAUUUAAAUUUUUUAACUUCACUCUUUUGGAUUUAAGCUCGUGAUCUAACUCCAAACCAAGUUAACAAACAAAAUGCAAUGGCGAUUGUGAACCUAGUUGAGGAGUUUGUAGAGGUAGAUCUCACACAGGAUGGGCAAAUUGGAUACCCAAACUUCUUAAGGAUAAGAGUCAAUCUUCAUAUCACCAAGUUCUUAUGCCCAGGCUUUCAUAGCAAGUGUUUGGAUGGGUUUGUUGCAUGGGUAACAAUAAAAUAUGAGAGGAUGCCAGAUAUAUGCUUCAAAUGUGGUAUUGUGGAACAUCUUAACAAGUCUUGCUCACUACAAGAAGCAGAAAAGGGUAGCGAUCUCAAAGCAGGAAGAACCGAUUUGGAUUUUGGAUGAAAGCACAAUCAGUGGGAGAAGGCAGGGUCUCGAAGCCACCGUCAAUAGUGUGAACAUCGAUCUCAUCAUUACCUUCCAUGCAACCACAAAAUCCAUAGACCCCUCAUGGACACAACCAAGGCCAUACUCAAUCACAAUCUUCCCCAACCAAAAAUCAAACACAACACAUGAUGAUGCACUUACUCAAAUCACAAAUGCAAAACCUGCAAAUACUAGAACCAAGUGUACUUUUAUUGACGUCUAACCUUGAACCACCAAAGCAAAUAGCCACAAACCACCGCAUGUUGCAGCUGUCAUGGUGGUCGGAAAAUUCAGAUAGUCCUGUUUCGAAAAGGAACCAAAACAUAGUGACAUCGGAAAACACCUUUUGUUUCCAAUAAAAACUUGGAGACCAAAAUGGAUCUGACAGCAUAUCUGCAAUAAUCUAAUGCCCAGUAAGCCCACUUACUAUCCAAACUAUUGAUUUAGAGCCUUUUUGAAAAUACAUGAAGAAGCAAAAGUACGAGGAAUUUAAUGCUAAUAAACUUUUUGGCAAGUAUCUGUUUCUCCUCAAUCAUUUACUAGUGGUGAUUGAAGUGGCACGUCAGAAGGAAAGUUAUAAUGAAAUAAUGAACUUUAAGGGUACAAGGAACAUAUCUUAAGGGCAAAGCGCAAAAGGAGGGGAAAUAGGAAGCCAAGAUAUGGACCAAAGUUUCAAGAAGCAGGAAGAGGCCCAUUUGAGCUCCAAGUCACACCCACAGACUGGGCCCAAAGAAACUGAUAAAAAAGACCAUACUCUCAUGCAGAAAGCUAGAAAACGGGAGGAAAGGAAGAAAGGCCUAGCCCACAAAUGCAAACCAAUUCAGAUCCCAAAUAAGGGUCUAGGGUCUGAAGAAAUGAUGUCAUUAGACUAUCUGAUUCCUAUGGCUCUUACUAUGUUUUAUUCACAACAACAAGGUUGGGAGGUUGGGUCUAAAAUCGCACAUCAAGGUGGAGAGACUAACAAGAUGAACGAACAACAACAAUUGAACAACUAAGCACUGCUGGAAAAGGCUUGCAAGAUAAAAAAAACUCAUGCUCCUUUAGGAGUAACUCUGGAAGAAAUUAAGCCACAAGAAGAUGAGAAUGGGUUGCCGUGGAAGAGGAAACAAGCUGAAGGAGACAUAUAAGAACAAGAAAAUGUGUCUAGAGACAAAAAUCUCUUUCACUGCAAGGGUGGAGGAAACAAAACCCAAAUAGUUCCAAUCAACCAAAUGAAGAUUUUAACAUGGAAUUGUGAGGGUGUGGGGAACCUUGACAAUCCAUAAUCUUAAAAGGAUGCUAAAGAUCCAUUCUCCAGAUAUUUUGGGGCUCCUGGAAACUAAAAACAGUGCAAUGAAGGUGCAAAAAAUUGUAUAAGGAUGCAAGGAUUUUCAUAAUUUAUUUUGUGUUGACCCUAAAGGUCAAGCUAGGGAGCUUUGUAUUACCUAGAAUGAUGCUUUUGUUAUCAAUGUUAACUCUAGUGAUUCCCACUAUAUUCUUGUUGUUGUUAAUGAUUUACAGAUGGAUGUUGUUUGAGAUUUUAUUUUGGUACAUCUUAGCUCUAAUGAUAAUAUUCGAGAAAGCCAAUACAGUAACCUGGUAUCUUUGAAAUGGUCUUUCCAUCCCGCUCUUUUGAUGACGAGAGAUUUUAAUACAUUCUUGCUACCAUUAGAAAAGUUGGAAGGAGAUUAGCAUUUUCUAUCAAAGAUUCAAGCCUUCAGGAACUUCACUGAGGAUAUGAAACUCUAUAGCCUUCUCAGCAAAUUAUCGAUUUAAGAUACAAUCAAAUUAUAAUGCUAAGACUACAACAAAAGGGACCUUCUACCUGUAAAGGUCGUGAUUCUUGUAGUCAUGCUCUAGAUGGUGUCAAUUAUUGAAAUAAGACUUAUUAGACUAUGUUAGGAAUUUUAACCAAUAACGUUUAGUUAAGACAAAAACUAGAAAAUAAAAUGCUAGAAGCCGAAAUUUUUUAUUGAAUUCUCGAAAAUUGAAAAUUUUCUCAAACAUUAAAAAAAAAUGGUUAUUUAUAAUAGUAAAAACCCUAAUAUGAAAAAUUAUGAAAAAAUUUAAAAAAAUAAUAAAAAUGCAAAAUUAAUCCUCUAAACAAUGAAAUUUUUUACUCAAACUUUGUGAUCAGGCCUACGAUCCUCGCUAUGUUUUUAAAAGUCGUGCGUCUCGAAAUUUCCUUUUCAAAAAGCUAUCACGGGCCUCUAAUGGACGUCGACAGUAGAAGUUAAGUUUGGUCUAAGUCUGCUAUAAACUUCAAGACCAAUUGCUCCGCAUCAUUCUCUUUCACUUGUAAAGAACUCGAUCUCAAGUUGUCAUUAACAGAGUGAUACUAAAAUAGAUUCGCCACGUUAAACGUCUUGAAAAUUUUCAUAUAAUCUGGGAGGUCAAGAACAUAAGAAUUGCUAUUAAUCUUCUAAAUAAUCUGGAAUGGACCAAUUUUCUUUGGAUCAAGCUUUUUCUGUCUUCCAUAACGUUUUUUGCGCAAAUACACCAUUACUUAAUUACCGACAUUGAAAAACUUGAAAUGCAUGUGUUUAUCAGCUGCAACUUUAUACUUGUCAUUAGCUUCCAUAAGGCACUGUUGUACCUGUUUGAAAAUUUCCACAUGUUGAUUUGCCAAAUUGUUUGUUGCAAUACUAUUAUGAAAACCUAUAGGAAGGGUAAUAAAAUUAACUAUAUACGCAGAAAUUUUCCUGUACACAACUACAAAGAGUGACAUUUUUAUAGAACUGUGGACAGAGCUGUUGUAAGCAAAUUCUGCUUAGGCAAGAGCAAGAUCCCAAGCAUUUUUCUUAUCACUGCAGAUGCAACGCAGAAGAUUGCCAAGAGUGCGGUUCAACCUUCAGUUUGGCCAUCAUUUUGGGGAUGGGCAGUACUACUAUAUCGAAGUUCAGUCCUAAAACGCUUCCAUAAAGUCACCCAAAAGUGAACUAGAAGCUUCACAUCUCUGUCAGAGGUAAUGGUCUUAAGAAUGCUAUGUAAACAAACAACCUCCUGGAAAGCCAAUUUUACAAUAUGAGAAAUAUCAUUAGUUUUCUUACAAUGAAUGAAAUGCAUCAUUUUAGAGAAUCUUUCAACAACAACAAAAAUAGAAUCAGAUCCACGUUGAGUAUGUGGAAGGCUAGGAACAAAAUCCAUAAACAAGUCCUCCUAAGGAUAUUUUGAAAUAAGCAAUUGAGUGUAUAAGCCCGUAUUCUGCAAAUUACCCUUCUGAGUUUGACAAACUGGGCACUUCUAAACCAUUCGACAUGUAUCUUUUUUUUUAAAUUGUGGCUAAUAAAAACACUCAUCUAAAUCAGCAAUAGUCUUAUCAUGCCCCAAAUGAUCACUCAAGCCUCCUUCAUGGACCUUUCGAAUCAAUUUUUUCCACAGAGAAAGGUGAGGAAUACAUAACCUAUUCUCCUUAAAAAGAAAGCUAUCAUGUAUCAAAAAUCUAUCAGCAGGCUAGCGAGUUUAGAUCUUCGCCCAUAUAUCAGCAAAAUCAUCAUCUGCAUCAUAUAAAUUCUUCAAAAAUUCAAAAUCCACGAUCUCCUUACUAAUUGUAAUCAAUAAAGCAGCCCUCCUACUCAAAGCGUCUGCUACCUUAUUACUAUGGUCAGCUUUAUAUUUUAUGACAUAAUAAAAAGCUCCAAAAUAAGUUGCCUAUCGAGUAUGCAUAUUAUUCACAUGUUUUUGAGUCUUAAGUGAAUCAAAAAUUGAUAAUUUGUGUGAAUGAUAAACUCCCGCCCUAUCAGAUAUUAUUCCCAAGUUUUAAGGGUCCGGAACACUGCAUAUAAUUCUUGCUCAUAAGUAGACCACUUCUUUUUAGCGUCAUUCAAUUUCUCACUAAAGAAUGCAAUAGGCUUAUUAGACUGCGAUAACACACCGCCAAUGCCAACUCCACAAGCAUCACAUUCAACCUCAAACAGUUUAUCACAAUCAGGUAGAGCAAGAAUAGGGGCAGAAGUAAGCUUAUCUUUAAUCUCCUCAAAGCUCUUGUCGGCAGUGUCAAUCCAAGUAAACUUUUGCACUCUCUCUUUCUUCAAAUAAUCUAUAAUAGGGGCAACAAAGCUGCUAAAAUUUAUGAUAAACCGCUGAUAGAAAGUAUCAAGUCUAUAAAAGUUGCGAACUUAUGAAAUAUUUUUUAGAAUAGACCAGUUCCAUAUUGCUUCUACCUUCUUCUCAUCAACGUGUAUCUCUUCUGCACUAAUAAUAAAUCCAAAAAAUAGAACUCGCUCCGUCAUAUAGAUGCAUUUUUUUCAAAUUAAUAACUAGCUCACUUUCUUACAAGGUUAUCAUGACUUGAUCACUACGACUAAAAAUCAAGAUAUUAUCAAAAUAAACAACCAUGAAUUUGCGUAGGAAAGGAUGCAAAACCUGAUUCAUAAGUCGCACGAACGUGCUAGGUGCAUUCGUCAAACAAAAUGGUAUAACUAACCACUCAUACAAGCCUUCCUUAGUUUUAAAAGUUGUCUUCCAUUUAUUUCUCUCCUUAAUCAAAACUUGAUGGUAGCCACUUUUAAGGUUGAUCUUAGAGAAACUCUAGACCCUGAUAUCAUCUAGUCGAAGAAUAGGAAAUCGAUACUAAACCAUAAUUUUGUUGAUGGCUCUACCAUCCACACACAUUCUCCAAAUUCCUCUCCUGAAUGUGCCCCUUUUUUAAUAACUCUUCAACCUGUUUUUUGACGAUUUCGCUCUUCUUUGGACUCAUUUUGCAAUGAGACAGAUUCGGUAAUUUUGAUCCCAGAAUGAGAUCAAUCCGAUGUUGAUAUCCUGCAAAGGUGGAAGGUUUAAAGUUUCCUCCACUACCCUAGAAAACUCCUUCAACAGCUCUUUGACAAAUGGUGGUAAAAAUAGUGCAUCCUCUACUGUACCUUUUACACUCAUCAAUAAAGUCAGUGUGCCUUCAGAUUUCUCAACUACGCCAGAUAGCUUUGCACCUUUAUAGAAACAGCAACAAUAGUUUUUUCAUCCACUUUAGAAUGUUUCGCAAAAUUAGAAGGCAAAAUAAUAAUCUUCUUUUGAUUCAAUGUAAACAUGUAUAAAUUCUCCUUUCUCUUAUGCAAUGCAUCAACAUCAAACUACCAAGACGACCUAAUAAAAUUUCACAGCAAUCCAUAUCUACAACAUCACAAUUAACAGAUUCAGUCUAAGAUUUACUGAUCGAAAUAGGCACGAUAUAGAUUAUGUUGACUGUAAUUGUCGAACCUUUCUUAAUUCACCCGACUUUGUAUGGGCGAAAGGUGAGGCUGUGUAGGCAACUACAACUUCUUCACCAAUUGCUUAACUAUCAUAUUCUCACAACUACAACUAUCGAUAAUUAGCCUGCAAAUCGCUUCUCCCACUCGAUACUUCAUCUGGAAAAUCUUUCUCCUUUGUGUCUCAUCCUCCUAUUUCGUCGAGCAUAGAAUUUUCUUCAUCACAUAGGUAACCUCUCCAUCUUCAGAACCAACAAUAGAUCCAUCGUCGUCAUCCACUUCCUCCUCAGAUCCAACCACCUACUCAGCUACAUUAAUCUAUCGCGAGCAUUAUUAAGUUUUCUGUGUUCUAGACAAUUAUUCGAUCGAUGACUAGGUUGCAUGUAGUGAGAACAUAGGUCUCUGGUUGGUUUCUAAUAAGGAUUGGUUUGCUUUCUUUGUCUGCUGUAUUGAUGACUGCUGUAUUAAUGACAGCUUUUCCCUUACUAUCUCUCCUUUCUUUUACAGUAUUUUGAGGAUUGCCAGAAUUUAUAACCCUAGAAGACUGUCCGCUGUAAUUACCUCUAUACUGUUGAAUUCCUAUCGAACCAGAAUUUCUGUAAUUAAAAUUUGGCUUACAUUGAUGUCGAGGCUGCCAAUCAACACGUUCUUCUGCUCUUUUUGUCGUCUCAAUGGCAUCUACCAAGGUGAAAAUUGCAGCUACUCCCAUCAUACAGUGAAUUUCGUGAUUCAGUCCCCUCUGAUAAUGAGAAACCUGCUGGACUUCAUUCUCACAGUUUUCGCACCUCGCCUGCAACCUCAAAAACUCCUUUGUAUAUUCAUUCACCCUUCGACUCACUUGAAUAUAAUCAUGAUACCAGUUAUACAUAACCUAAGCGUGAUCACUAGGCAAAAAUCGUUGUUCAAUCAUCUGCUUCAUCAACAACCAGUUUCGUAUAGGUUCCAGCCUCCUGAAAUAGCUUUCGUUUUGAACAGAAUUCCACCAUAUUGUUGCAUCACACUUUAAUUUAUAAGGCACAAUCAGAACCUUUCAAUCCUCUUCCACGUUCAUAAUUUCAAAAAAUCGAUCAACCUCCGCUAACCAAUUAAGGACAGAUUGUACAUCCAGAAAAAGUUUUGAAGGUCUAUCUUUUUUUUGUAAUCUUCGUGAUAAUCCUAUUCGAAAUUUACAACCAUAGGAUUUGUGACCACAUGAUUUAGAACUGACUGUGGGCGUUCGGCUGCGGUGGGUUGGUUGUUAUCCCGUUAUAGGGCUAGCUAUUCGAUCAUCUCUCUCAAUUCUGCUAAGGAUGCCUCAAUUACAGCGAGUCGCGCCUCUUGGUUGUCGGUCAUGGAUGAACUUCGCUCUAAUACCAACUGAAAUAGGACUGAUUAAACUCCUUCAGGAGUUUUAACCAAUAAUGUUUGAGUAAAAUGAAAUUUAGAAUACGAAAGACUAAAAGCCAAAAUUUCUUAUUGAAUUAUUAAAAAUUGAAAGUCCCUCAAAAUAGCUAAGAAAAUUACUCUUUAUAAUAGCAAAAACUCUAAUAUAAAAAAAUAUGAAAAAAUUUUAAAAAAUAAUAAAAAUAUAAAAUUGAUCCCUAAAGAAUGAAAUUUUUACCUCGAAUUUUAUAAUCAAGUCUACCGCUCUUGUCACACUUUUAAAAAUCGUGCAUCUUAAAAUUUUCUUUUCGAAAAGUUAUCGUGAGUUUCCAACAAACGUUGGUAGCAUAAAUUAAAUUCGGUCUAAAUUUGCUAUAAAAUUCAAAAUUAAUUGCUUCACAUCAGUUGCACCUAUCAUCAUAGUUAAUUAUGCGAGAAAUUAUUAAACAUAAUUAUGUAUAUACAUCUAGUCAAUAAAUAAAUAAUAAAUAAAGUAUAAUUAUAAUAAAUUUUACAUUUAAUUAAAUUUUAUUAUAUAGGUAUACUUACAUAGAAUGUGCAUAAGAAAUUUUUUAAUUAUAUAGUGAAGAGAAACGGUGUAAGAUUAAAAUAAUAGUAUAUAUAAAAAUAUAUAUAUUAUUGGGAUGGAAUUUUUUUUAUUAAAUUUGCUUUGUUGUGAUAUUCAUAAAUAAAUGUGAAUAUUCUUUUCAUUAUAUAAAUUUUACAUUUAAUUAUGUAACUUGAACUCACAGUGGAGUAUUGAUAAAUUUAUUUAAUUAACACAUUGUGUUCUUACAAAUAAAUAUUGAAUAAUCUAUAUAAUUUUUUGAAUUUUCCGAUUCAUUAUGAAAAUUAUUGAAGUUGCCAAGGUGCUCGGAAAAUGCGACCGGGCGUUGGUGGGCUUGACUUGGACCAACAAGUCUUUUGCUCCCAAAAAGUCUAUAGGCAAGACUUGAUGCGUGUUUAAUUUAAAAAAAAAAAAAAAACUAGACUAGCAUUAGGAAAGCUGAGGACAUUACCAUGGACGACACUUUCUCCUGCCAUAGAUGGAGAAGGAACUCCAUGAUGGAUAUUAACUGCUGGUUACAGUAGAGCAUUAUAUUUACUUUUAACACAUUGUGUUUAUUAUAAAAACUAAUUUUAUAUAUAAAAAAAUAUUAAUUAAUAUUUAAUUAUAGUAACUGAUAUAUUUAAUUUUAAAAUUAAUUAUAAAAAUUUAUAACAAAUAAAUUGUUCUUAAUUAUCUUAUAUAUAUUACUAUUUUGAAUUAAAUAAUAUAUAACUGUUGUAAAAUAUUUAUUAUUAUUAUCGUAUGAAUUAUGUAUUUAAUAAUUUGAUUAUUUAUUUUUAAUUUUAAUUUUAAAAAUUAAUGAAAAUUAUAUUUUAAUGCACACGUUGAUUUAAUUUAUUCAAAAUUUAAAUAACGCAAACGAUUGAAUUUUUUUCGACCAAUUGGAUAAAUGCAUCUUAAAACGAUGACAAGGACAGAAAGGACUCUUAAGCAUUAAACCGACACACUGAACCAUGAAACAUGCAACUCAAUAGCGACCCAACUCGGAGUUUCUCCAUUCAGAUCUGCUUUCCCUUUUAUUAGCUUUUAAUCUCUUCUUCUCCAACCCUUCGAUUUAUAACCUCGCUGCUGCAACGAAACGGCCAUUAAGUUGCUCAACAGAAUCUCUAUCUUCUUCUUCUUCUUCUUCUUCUUCUUCUUCUUCAAUAUCAUAUUGGGUAAUAAUACGAAUCUCUACGUUCAUGACCCAUUUCUUCUUAAUCCUGGAAAUCUCUGCCAAAACAUCCAUAGCGUUGCAUAUUAUCUUGGAGAUGACAAAGCUUCUGAGCUUGGGAUGUAUGUCUAUGGAACAAGGCAACAAGGUUGAGAUUAUUUCAGAAAUAUCAUCGCAGAGAAAUUGUUCUUCAGUGAGCUCUACAGUGUUACCCAUGAUUUGAGUUCGUAUUUCGAGUUGGCUGCCCCAUACUUGACAGUGUGUGGAGCUUGGAAGAAUUCUGAUGUGGAGAACUGGUGGACAAUUCUCUUCAAGAUCAAACUUUUUGUAUCUCAAGUUUACUUGCAGUUUUGCUGUGGAAGCCAUGAUUAUGAUGAUAGUUUUGCUAAUGAUUUGAUCGAACAAGGGAAUAUAGAAUUUGUUGGAGUGUUAUGAUAUAUAGAUAUAUAUAUACAUAUAAAGAGAGAGAACAAAUCCUGUUUGGAUUGGACUUCUGUUUUCCGAGAAAGAACAGGAAAAGGAAAGGAAAACACACAAACAUAUUAUUAAUUAAUUAGAAGCCUAUUCCUGUUUAGUUUGGAUUGGAGCCAUAAUUAGAUUAUGAGAG
Molecule: long non-coding RNA, 11543 nt
Filed under: Manihot esculenta (cassava)
Lineage: Eukaryota; Viridiplantae; Streptophyta; Magnoliopsida; Malpighiales; Euphorbiaceae
Description: long non-coding RNA (MESC_LNC006192)
Source: RNAcentral